This 468-nucleotide ribosomal RNA is filed under the name uncultured bacterium. RNAcentral's name for it is "partial 16S ribosomal RNA". It matches the Rfam family "Bacterial small subunit ribosomal RNA", at positions 28 to 507 of the family's 1533-position model. The record is from RNAcentral.
GACGAACGCUGGCGGCGUGCUUAACACAUGCAAGUCGAACGGAAAGGCCCUGCUUUUGUGGGGUGCUCGAGUGGCGAACGGGUGAGUAACACGUGAGUAACCUGCCCUUGACUUUGGGAUAACUUCAGGAAACUGGGGCUAAUACCGGAUAGGAGCUCCUGCUGCAUGGUGGGGGUUGGAAAGUUUCGGCGGUUGGGGAUGGACUCGCGGCUUAUCAGCUUGUUGGUGGGGUAGUGGCUUACCAAGGCUUUGACGGGUAGCCGGCCUGAGAGGGUGACCGGCCACAAUGGGACUGAGGUACGGGCCAGACUCCUACGGGAGGCAGGAGGGGGGAAUAUUGCACAAUGGGCGGAAGCCUGAUGCAGCAACGCCGCGUGCGGGAUGACGGCCUUCGGGAUGUAAACCGCUUUCGCCUGUGACGAAGCGUGAGUGACGGUAAUGGGUAAAGAAGCACCGGCUAACUACGUG